GUGGAGCGACGAGUUAGAGAGGAGAUUCAGGUAAGAACAAACCAGAUGAAAGUUGAAGAGAAAUCCAACCAGAGUAAGUUACCUGGAGCAGUAGAGUACGCGUACAUAAAGUCUGCCUCCACGGGAAUCUUCGCAGACGUUUCGUCUACUGCAGCAUCCAUUUUGUCAACUGCAGCA
This is a long non-coding RNA of Xiphophorus hellerii (green swordtail), 177 nucleotides long. RefSeq lists it as uncharacterized. The transcript is spliced from 3 exons. Lineage: Eukaryota; Metazoa; Chordata; Actinopteri; Cyprinodontiformes; Poeciliidae. The record is from RefSeq and is a predicted model, not a curated record.